GACGAACGCUGGCGGCGUGCUUAACACAUGCAAGUCGAACGGAAAGGCCCUGCUUUUGUGGGGUGCUCGAGUGGCGAACGGGUGAGUAACACGUGAGUAACCUGCCCUUGACUUUGGGAUAACUUCAGGAAACUGGGGCUAAUACCGGAUAGGAGCUCCUGCUGCAUGGUGGGGGUUGGAAAGUUUCGGCGGUUGGGGAUGGACUCGCGGCUUAUCAGCUUGUUGGUGGGGUAGUGGCUUACCAAGGCUUUGACGGGUAGCCGGCCUGAGAGGGUGACCGGCCACAUUGGGACUGGGAUACGGCCCGGACUCCUACGGGAGGCAGCAGUGGGGAAUAUUGCACAAUGGGCGGAGGCCGGAUGCAGCAACGCCGCGUGCGGGAUGACGGCCUUCGGGUUGUAAACCGCUUUCGCCUGUGACGAAGCGUGAGUGACGGUAAUGGGUAAAGAAGCACCGGCUAACUACGU
This 467-nucleotide ribosomal RNA is filed under the name uncultured bacterium. RNAcentral's name for it is "partial 16S ribosomal RNA". It matches the Rfam family "Bacterial small subunit ribosomal RNA", at positions 28 to 506 of the family's 1533-position model. The record is from RNAcentral.